Molecule: ribosomal RNA, 253 nt
Filed under: uncultured bacterium
Lineage: Bacteria
Description: partial 16S ribosomal RNA
Rfam family: Bacterial small subunit ribosomal RNA
Source: RNAcentral
UACGAAGGGGGCGAGCGCUGUUCGGAAUUACUGGGCGUAAAGGGCGCGCAGGCGGCUCUGAAAGUCAGAUGUGAAAGCCCCGGGCUUAACCUGGGAACUGCAUUUGAUACUCUAGAGCUUGAGUACGGGAGAGGAGAGUGGAAUUCCCAGUGUAGAGGUGAAAUUCGUAGAUAUUGGGAAGAACACCGGUGGCGAAGGCGGCUCUCUGGACCGUAACUGACGCUGAGGCGCGAAAGCGUGGGGAGCAAACAGG